This 579-nucleotide long non-coding RNA is filed under the name Mytilus galloprovincialis (Mediterranean mussel). The record is from RNAcentral. Lineage: Eukaryota; Metazoa; Mollusca; Bivalvia; Mytilida; Mytilidae.
AGUUAAUAUAGUUUCUGUACUUUGGCAACUUUCCUGAAUGGUUUGCUGGUUUCAAUUUGUUAAACUCGAUAAAAGUAAAGGAAUAACACCUUUACUUGCUAGAAAUUCUGUUAAAAUUUCCCAUUUUGGCAUUAUACGGCUAAACAAGAUGAACGAAUGAUACCAGAAGGAAAGACAAAGAGACAAAUAAAUGUACAGAAGACACAACAUAGGAAACUAAAGACUAAGCAACACAAACCCCACCAAAAACUGGGGUUGAUCUCAGCUGUUCCGGAAGGGUAAGCAUAUUCUGCUCCAAAUGUGGCACCCGUCGAGUUGCUUAUGUUAUUAAAUAGUUUAAUUUCGUAGAUCACAUUCGUGAAAAGGAAGGGUAUUGUUGUUACCACAAAAGGAACAUAUCCGAUAAAAUUAGCAUUUUAAAGCAGUUUCCAUUUUUAUGUUGAAGAGGCAAAGCUGACUUUUUAUCUGACAGAUGUUUGUUUUGAUAUUUGUGUUUUUAUGCCAUUUGUGAACUCUGAAUGUAGAGAAAAGAAGAUAAUCACAAUAAAAUAUGUGAAAAAUGUAUUGUACUUGUAGCCC